GAUGAACGCUGGCGGCGUGCCUAAUACAUGCAAGUCGAGCGAACGGACGAGAAGCUUGCUUCUCUGAUGUUAGCGGCGGACGGGUGAGUAACACGUGGAUAACCUACCUAUAAGACUGGGAUAACUUCGGGAAACCGGAGCUAAUACCGGAGAAUAUUUUGAACCGCAGUGGUCAAAAGUGAAAGACGGUCUUGCUGUCACUUAUAGAUGGAUCCGCGCUGCAUUAGCUAGUUGGUAAGGUAAAGGCUUACCAAGGCAACGAUGCAUAGCCGACCUGAGAGGGUGAUCGGCCACACUGGAACUGAGACACGGUCCAGACUCCUACGGGAGGCAGCAGUAGGGAAUCUUACGCAAUGGGCGAAAGCCUGACGGAGCAACGCCGCGUGAGUGAUGAAGGUCUUCGGAUCGUAAAACUCUGUUAUUAGGGAAGAACAUAUGUGUAAGUAACUGUGCACAUCUUGACGGUACCUAAUCAGAAAGCCACGGCUAACUACGUG
Molecule: ribosomal RNA, 497 nt
Filed under: uncultured bacterium
Lineage: Bacteria
Description: partial 16S ribosomal RNA
Rfam family: Bacterial small subunit ribosomal RNA
Source: RNAcentral